UGCCAGACUCCUACGGGAGGCAGCAGUGGGGAAUAUUGCACAAUGGGGGAAACCCUGAUGCAGCGACGCCGCGUGAGCGAGGAAGUACCUCGGUAUGUAAAGCUCUGUCAGCAGGGAAGAAAAUGACAGUACCUGACCAAGAAGCCCCGGCUAACUACGUGCCAGCAGCCGCGGUAAUACGUAGGGGGCAAGCGUUAUCCGGAUUCACUGGGCGUAAAGGGAGCGCAGGCGGCACGGCAAGUCUGAUGUGAAAACCCGGGGCUCAACCCCGGGACUGCAUUGGAAACUGCCGGGCUGGAGUGUCGGAGGGGUAAGCGGAAUUCCUGGUGUAGCGGUGAAAUGCGUAGAUAUCAGGAGGAACACCGGUGGCGAAGGCGGCUUACUGGACGACAACUGACGCUGAGGCUCGAAAGCGUGGGGAGCAAACAGGAUUAGAUACCCCUGUA
Molecule: ribosomal RNA, 446 nt
Filed under: uncultured bacterium
Lineage: Bacteria
Description: partial 16S ribosomal RNA
Rfam family: Bacterial small subunit ribosomal RNA
Source: RNAcentral